GAGGUAACUUCCCCCAAUCCAGCAUAUCCUUACUGGAUUCGCCAGGACAAUCUUAUUCUCAGUGCCAUCAUCUCGUCGAUCACACCAACGAUCAUCUCGUUCAUUGCCGCUGCGGUAACCUCUAAAGAGGCAUGGGACAUCCUCGCGCGCACAUACGGAACUGCUUCUCGCGAUCGUAUCAUGGCUCUCAAACAGCAGCUCCAUAAUCCGG
RNAcentral lists this long non-coding RNA (211 nucleotides) under Nicotiana benthamiana. RNAcentral's name for it is "long non-coding RNA (NBEN_LNC014303)". The record is from RNAcentral. Lineage: Eukaryota; Viridiplantae; Streptophyta; Magnoliopsida; Solanales; Solanaceae.